Non-coding RNA from Nothobranchius furzeri (turquoise killifish), 2520 nucleotides. Lineage: Eukaryota; Metazoa; Chordata; Actinopteri; Cyprinodontiformes; Nothobranchiidae. The record is from RefSeq and is a predicted model, not a curated record.
AUGUGUCCUCAGGGAAGGACCUGAUUGGUGUCCAGAACCUGCUGAAGAAGCACGAGGCUCUGCAGGCUGAGAUCACAGGUCAUGAACCUCGCAUCAAGGCUGUCACCCAGAAAGGAGAGACCAUAAUGGAGGAAGGUAGAGCAGGUCUGGUCCUGACAUGUUUCUGAGGUGUCUGCAGGUUCUGGCUCACUUUGUUUGGGUCCAGGUCACUUCGCUGGUUCAGAACCCUCGGCCCGUCAGAACAUUCUUAUCCACCACGUUCUAACACCAGACCUGUUAACCCAACAGCAACAAGUGGCUCCAACUGACGAUGAGACCGGGAAGGAGCUGGUUCUGGCUCUGUACGACUACCAGGAGAAGAGUCCUGGAGAGGUCACCAUGAAGAAGGGCGACAUCCUCACGCUGCUCAACAGCACCAACAAGGUUGUUUUACUUGAACUCGCGUCUUUAGCUGAAUGAGGAUGGAGAGACGGGUCGAACCUGGAGCAGGUCGAGGUCUUGCAGAAGAAGUUUGACGACUUCCAGAAGGACCUGAAGGCCAACGAGUCCCGCCUGAGGGACAUCAACAAGGUGGCAUCUGAACUGGAGUCAGAAGGUCUGAUGGCUGAGGAGGCUCCUAUGGUUCAGGCUCAGCAACAAGAACAUCUGGGUUCUGCUCCUGGAAAGGAUGAAGCCGACUCUAACCCCGGCUUUCCACAGGAGUCGUCAGCAGCACGUUACUGCAGCAGCACGUCAUAGCUGCUGAUAGGAACCGCUGUGGUCAACAGAACCUUUUCCACCGGAGCCGUCAGCAGCGCGAGUCGGCCGCGUCUCAGGAGCAGCAUGUCGCGGCCCUUACGCGCCGGUUCUAUUUUCUACGCGCGACGCCUCUGAAACGGGUCAAGUUCGACAUUUUUGGGGAAGGAAAGACAGGAAAUCGGACGCGGAAAUUGAGAGAAGCUACCGAGAUUUUCAGAAUAAAGAACGUACUGCCUUCCGGUUGCUUUACUUUUAAAAAAGGUUACUAACUGAGCGGCCCCGUGAGAAGUUAUCACCUAGCUAGCGGUCUCCUUUGUUUUUCAGGUCCGUAUUGGCGAUUAUAAAACGGACAGAACAUAAAACACAAACCAUGUUGUAGUUUUCUCCUGCUUGUUGUUGUGUUUACUGACGAAGUCACUCGAGUGACUUCGUGCUCGGUCGGUGACAGCUGCUCCCCUGCUGCUUCGCGUCUCGUGGGAAGGGCCAAGCAGCAGCUUACGCGAGCAAGACGUGCUGCUGCAGUAACGUGCUGCUGACGGCUCCCGUGGAAACCCGGGGUAACACGGCGUCACCCUAGAAGGUGAGUUCAUUCAGCUGAUCAGAGGUCACCUCUGAUGGCCGCAGUCACGGCCGACCGUGCUGAAAUCACACAGGAAUUCAGGUGACCCGGCAGGCACCAGGUGCUGGUGAAAGUGGGGACAUGUCAGCUGGUUGCCAUGGCUACAGUUAUCUUUAUGCAUCUGUAUGACUGCUGACUGGUGUGUGUUUCCUGUGACCUUUGACCUCAGACCGUACGGUUGGGCGUUCAGACGACGGCUAACUUUAAUUCCAUCAAGGAGCUGAACAACCGCUGGCGCUCGCUGCAACAUGCUGGGCAGCGCCCAUGAGGUGUAGCGCUUCCACAGAGACGCUGAUGAGACCAAAGAGUGGAUCGAGGAGAAGAACCAGGCCCUGAACACAGACAACUACAGCCACCACCUGGCCAGCGUUCAGGCUCUGCAGCGUGAACAUGAAGGCUUUGAGCGUGACCUGGCAGCUCUGGGUGAUAAGGUCCGCUUUCCUGAUCGGUACCAGGACCCGAGUUGUCUCUGGAGACACGUUCUUCGUGGUUCUGGUGACUCCACCCCAGCCGUUCCUGAUCAGCGAUCAGCGGGGUGCUUUCCUAUUUAAGGUGGAUGGAGGACACAAUUUGACGCCAGAAGAUUGCCUCAGUUUUGGAUUCCUGUCGACCUCAUUGGAUACUGACCUCUACUCCAGGAUUUGGAUAUUCAACACACGGACCUUAUCACCACCCUCCAUAACCCACCUCUCAUCUCACCCGUUGCCCCAUCCACCAGGACGCCCCGCUUCUCUCCACCUCUGCUCCCUCUCCUGCGCUUCCCCCGGCUCUCUACCUCUCUCUCCUCCAGCCAACACAUACACCCACCACAAUGCUGAGCUGUUGUUGCAGUUCCAACCACAGACUUAUCUGUGCACCUUAAGUUCCUCCUUAUAAAUAAAUCAUUUUUUCCAUCAGUUUUUGGUCAGUGUUGUAUUCUGCAUGUCUUGGGUUAAGUACCUUCCUCCAAACAUGACACUCCUCCUCAAAGAGCAAAUCUGUUCAGCACAUUCUGACAGACAGACCACCAUUCUUCUGUCAUGAUGCUGUACAGGACAUUUUUAGAGUUUUUCUUUUUAAAGAUAAAUAGGAUUACAUUUAAAUAGCAAUACUUUCACAUUAUCAUUUUCCCACACUUCUGUAUAACUGUAUUUUGUUGUUUUUCAAUAAAGAAUGACAAACUA